This 468-nucleotide ribosomal RNA is filed under the name uncultured bacterium. RNAcentral describes it as "partial 16S ribosomal RNA". It matches the Rfam family "Bacterial small subunit ribosomal RNA", at positions 28 to 507 of the family's 1533-position model. The record is from RNAcentral.
GACGAACGCUGGCGGCGUGCUUAACACAUGCAAGUCGAACGGAAAGGCCCUGCUCUUGUGGGGUGCCCGAGUGGCGAACGGGUGAGUAACACGUGAGUAACCUGCCCUUGACUUUGGGAUAACUUCUGGAAACUGGGGCUAAUACCGGAUAGGAGAUCCUGCUGCAUGGUGGGGGUUGGAAAGUUUCGGCGGCUGGGGAUGGACUCGCGGCUUACCAGCUUGUUGGUGGGGUAGUGGCUUACCAAGGCUUUGACAGGUAGCCGGUCUGAGAGGGUGACCGGCGACAUUGGGACUGAGAUACUGCGCGGACUCCUACUGGAGUCAGCAGUGGGGGAUAUUGCACAAUGGGCGGAAGCCUGAGGCAGCAACGCCGCGUGCGGGAUAACAGCCGUCGGGUUGUAGGCCGCUUUCGCCGGUAACGAAGCGUGAGAGACGGUAAUGGGUAAAGAAGCACCGGCUAACUACGUG